UGUGCGGGCCGGGCCCCUCUGACGACCCUCGUGCUGAAAAGCGCGAUCGUGAUGUCGGACCGCGUCG
This is a regulatory RNA element of 67 nucleotides. It matches the Rfam family "terC RNA". The record is from Rfam.